GAUGAGUUCUCCCUGACUCCUUGAGAGUCCUGAAGGAACGUUGAAGACGACGACGUUGAUAGGCCGGGUGUGUAAGCGCAGCGAUGCGUUGAGCUAACCGGUACUAAUGAACCGUGAGGCUUAACCUUA
Molecule: ribosomal RNA, 129 nt
Filed under: Shigella sonnei
Lineage: Bacteria; Pseudomonadati; Pseudomonadota; Gammaproteobacteria; Enterobacterales; Enterobacteriaceae
Description: 23S rRNA. Bacterial LSU
Rfam family: Bacterial large subunit ribosomal RNA
Source: RNAcentral